This 61-nucleotide transfer RNA is filed under the name Ictidomys tridecemlineatus (thirteen-lined ground squirrel). Its description in RNAcentral is "Spermophilus tridecemlineatus (thirteen-lined ground squirrel) tRNA". It matches the Rfam family "tRNA", at positions 6 to 65 of the family's 71-position model. Rfam says of the family: Transfer RNA (tRNA) molecules are approximately 80 nucleotides in length. Their secondary structure includes four short double-helical elements and three loops (D, anti-codon, and T loops). Further hydrogen bonds mediate the characteristic L-shaped molecular structure. tRNAs have two regions of fundamental functional importance: the anti-codon, which is responsible for specific mRNA codon recognition, and the 3' end, to which the tRNAs corresponding amino acid is attached (by aminoacyl-tRNA synthetases). tRNAs cope with the degeneracy of the genetic code in two manners: having more than one tRNA (with a specific anti-codon) for a particular amino acid; and 'wobble' base-pairing, i.e. permitting non-standard base-pairing at the 3rd anti-codon position. The record is from Rfam by way of RNAcentral. Lineage: Eukaryota; Metazoa; Chordata; Mammalia; Rodentia; Sciuridae.
UGUAGCUCAGUGGUAGAGCACUUGACUAGCACACAUGAGGCCCUGGGUUCACUCCCCAGCA